UAUUGGUCAAUGGGCUUACGCCUGAACCAGCCAAGUCGCGUGAGGGAAGACUGCCCUAUGGGUUGUAAACCUCUUUUGUCAGGGAGCAAGUGGCGCUACGUGUAGCGUUAUCGAGAGUACCUGAAGAAAAAGCAUCGGCUAACUCCGUGCCAGCAGCCGCGGUAAUACGGAGGAUGCGAGCGUUAUCCGGAUUUAUUGGGUUUGAAGGGUGCGUAGGCAGAAUGCCAAGUCAGCGGUAAAAUCGCGGGGCUCAACCUCGCUCCGCCGUUGAAACUGGCGUUCUUGAGUGAGCGAGAAGUAUGCGGAAUGCGUGGUGUAGCGGUGAAAUGCAUAGAUAUCACGCAGAACUCCGAUUGCGAAGGCAGCAUACCGGCGCUCAACUGACGCUCAUGCACGAAAGCGUGGGUAUCG
Molecule: ribosomal RNA, 411 nt
Filed under: uncultured bacterium
Lineage: Bacteria
Description: bacterial SSU rRNA
Rfam family: Bacterial small subunit ribosomal RNA
Source: RNAcentral